GCAGUAGUAGUUCAGCGGAUGGAGCCCUCGCUCGGUAUGCGAAAGACCCGGGUUCGACUCCCAGCUGCUCCG
RNAcentral lists this transfer RNA (72 nucleotides) under Toxocara canis (dog roundworm). It matches the Rfam family "tRNA". From Rfam's summary of the family: Transfer RNA (tRNA) molecules are approximately 80 nucleotides in length. The record is from Rfam by way of RNAcentral. Lineage: Eukaryota; Metazoa; Nematoda; Chromadorea; Rhabditida; Toxocaridae.